AACGCUAGCUACAGGCUUAACACAUGCAAGUCGAGGGGCAUCAGGAAGAAAGCUUGCUUUCUUUGCUGGCGACCGGCGCACGGGUGAGUAACACGUAUCCAACCUGCCCUUUACUCGGGGAUAGCCUUUCGAAAGAAAGAUUAAUACCCGAUAGCAUAAUGAUUCCGCAUGGUUUCAUUAUUAAAGGAUUCCGGUAAAGGAUGGGGAUGCGUUCCAUUAGGUUGUUGGUGAGGUAACGGCUCACCAAGCCUUCGAUGGAUAGGGGUUCUGAGAGGAAGGUCCCCCACAUUGGAACUGAGACACGGUCCAAACUCCUACGGGAGGCAGCAGUGAGGAAUAUUGGCCAAUGGGCGAGAGCCUGAACCAGCCAAGUAGCGUGAAGGAUGACUGCCCUAUGGGUUGUAAACUUCUUUUAUAAAGGAAUAAAGUCGGGUAUGGAUACCCGUUUGCAUGUACUUUAUGAAUAAGGAUCGGCUAACUCCGUGCCAGCAGCCGCGGUAAUACGGAGGAUCCGAGCGUUAUCCGGAUUUAUUGGGUUUAAAGGGAGCGUAGAUGGAUGUUUAAGUCAGUUGUGAAAGUUUGCGGCUCAACCGUAAAAUUGCAGUUGAUACUGGAUAUCUUGAGUGCAGUUGAGGUAGGCGGAAUUCGUGGUGUAGCGGUGAAAUGCUUAGAUAUCACGAAGAACUCCGAUUG
RNAcentral lists this ribosomal RNA (693 nucleotides) under uncultured Bacteroidales bacterium. RNAcentral describes it as "bacterial SSU rRNA". It matches the Rfam family "Bacterial small subunit ribosomal RNA", at positions 32 to 715 of the family's 1533-position model. Lineage: Bacteria; Pseudomonadati; Bacteroidota; Bacteroidia; Bacteroidales. The record is from RNAcentral.